This 72-nucleotide transfer RNA is filed under the name Camelus bactrianus (Bactrian camel). It matches the Rfam family "tRNA". From Rfam's summary of the family: Transfer RNA (tRNA) molecules are approximately 80 nucleotides in length. Their secondary structure includes four short double-helical elements and three loops (D, anti-codon, and T loops). Lineage: Eukaryota; Metazoa; Chordata; Mammalia; Artiodactyla; Camelidae. The record is from Rfam by way of RNAcentral. RNAcentral also lists the same sequence under 1 other name.
GAGGAUGUAGCUCAGUGGUAGAGUGUGUGCUUGGCAUGCAGGAGGUCCUGGGUCCAAUCCCCAGCACCUCCG